This 1403-nucleotide ribosomal RNA is filed under the name uncultured Acidimicrobiia bacterium. RNAcentral's name for it is "bacterial SSU rRNA". It matches the Rfam family "Bacterial small subunit ribosomal RNA". The record is from RNAcentral. Lineage: Bacteria; Bacillati; Actinomycetota; Acidimicrobiia.
CAUGCAAGUCGAACGAGGCUGGGCUUUCGAGUUCGGUCGAGUGGCGAACGGGUGAGUAACACGUGAGGAACCUACCCCGGAGACUGGGACAACCAAGGGAAACCCUGGCUAAUACCAGAUGACCCCAGCCGAUCGCAUGGUCGGUUGAGGAAACGCUCUGGUGCUCUGGGAGGGCCUCGCGGCCUAUCAGCUUGUUGGUGGGGUAACGGCCCACCAAGGCAUUGACGGGUAGCUGGUCUGAGAGGACGAUCAGCCACACUGGGACUGAGAUACGGCCCAGACUCCUACGGGAGGCAGCAGUGGGGAAUAUUGCGCAAUGGGCGAAAGCCUGACGCAGCAACGCCGCGUGGGGGAUGAAGGCUUUCGGGUUGUAAACCCCUUUCAGCAGGGACGAAAAUGACGGUACCUGCAGAAGAAGCCCCGGCCAACUACGUGCCAGCAGCCGCGGUAACACGUAGGGGGCAAGCGUUGUCCGGAUUUAUUGGGCGUAAAGAGCUCGUAGGCGGUUGCGUAAGUCGGAUGUGAAAACUCAGGGCUUAACCCGGAGACGCCAUCCGAUACUGCGCUGACUAGAGUCCGGCAGGGGAGCAUGGAAUUCUUGGUGUAGCGGUGAAAUGCGCAGAUAUCAGGAGGAACACCAGUGGCGAAGGCGGUGCUCUGGGCCGGUACUGACGCUGAGGAGCGAAAGCGUGGGUAGCGAACAGGAUUAGAUACCCUGGUAGUCCACGCCGUAAACGGUGGGCACUAGGUGUGGGACCUACACAAUGGGUUCCGUGCCGUAGCUAACGCGUUAAGUGCCCCGCCUGGGGAGUACGGCCGCAAGGCUAAAACUCAAAGGAAUUGACGGGGGCCCGCACAAGCGGCGGAGCAUGUUGCUUAAUUCGAGGCAACGCGAAGAACCUUACCUGGGUUUGACAUGCACGGAAAAGCUGUAGAGAUACAGUGUCCAUUGGGCCGUGCACAGGUGGUGCAUGGCUGUCGUCAGCUCGUGUCGUGAGAUGUUGGGUUAAGUCCCGCAACGAGCGCAACCCUCGUCCUAUGUUGCCAGCACGUGAUGGUGGGGACUCAUGGGAGACUGCCGGGGUUAACUCGGAGGAAGGUGGGGACGAAGUCAAGUCAUCAUGCCCCUUAUGCCCAGGGCUGCAAACAUGCUACAAUGGCCGGUACAAAGGGUUGCGAUAUCGCGAGGUUGAGCGGAUCCCAUAAAGCCGGUCUCAGUUCGGAUUGGAGUCUGCAACUCGACUCCAUGAAGCCGGAGUCGCUAGUAAUCCCGGAUCAGCAACGCCGGGGUGAAUACGUUCCCGGGCCUUGUACACACCGCCCGUCACACCACGAAAGUUGGCAACACCCGAAGUCAGUGGCCUAACCCUCCCUUCGGGGAAGGAGCUGCCGAAGGUGGGUUG